CGACCUGACAUCAAGGGGGAUUACCCGCCGAAUUUAAGCAUAUUAAUAAGCGGAGGAAAAGAAAACAACUGUGAUUCCCUUAGUAAUGGCGAAUGAAACGGGAAAAGCCCAGCGCCGAACUGCUGGCCAUCUCGGUCAUGCGGAAUGUGGCGUUUAGAAGGGUCUCUUCCAAGGCAUCAGACACCAGUCAAAGUUCAACUUGACAGUGGCCACAGCCCAUAGAGGGUGAUAGGCCCGUAAGGCGGUUGUCUGGCUUUGCUGACCUCUUCUCAGAGUCGGGUAGCUUGUGAGUGCUGCCCAAAGUGCGAGGUAAACUCCUCGUAAGGCUAAAUACAACCCCAAUACCGAUAGCAAACAAGUACAGUGAUGGAAAUUUGAAAAGAACUUUGAAGAGAGAGUUAAUAGUACGUGAAACUGUAUGGUAGUAAACGCAGCCUUCCUCGAAGUUCUUCACGUGGAUCCAGCCUAAGUGUCGGGCGGCGCCAUGCGGCAGUUAACCGAGCAGCAAUGCCGGCUGCUGUGUGUUCUUGCUGUUGGCACGCGGGUGCAUCUCCAUGUGUUGUUACUGUAGGAACCGUUGGGACUGGACCAAAGGCCUGGUGCAAAGUUUCGGCUGGCUGUCGUGGCCGGCUGAAGUGCUGCCGGUGUCCUGGCUUCGGACCGACGGGCAGUCAUGCCCGACUUGUAUAGCAAGCAGCCUGCUGUGCGGUCGGGCAUCCCAC
RNAcentral lists this ribosomal RNA (722 nucleotides) under Candacia curta. Its description in RNAcentral is "eukaryotic LSU rRNA". It matches the Rfam family "Eukaryotic large subunit ribosomal RNA", at positions 1 to 606 of the family's 3401-position model. Lineage: Eukaryota; Metazoa; Arthropoda; Copepoda; Calanoida; Candaciidae. The record is from RNAcentral.